Molecule: small RNA, 561 nt
Filed under: Rattus norvegicus (Norway rat)
Lineage: Eukaryota; Metazoa; Chordata; Mammalia; Rodentia; Muridae
Description: uncharacterized LOC102548002
Source: RNAcentral
UUCGUAAAUGUUUAGUGUUCUUCAUUAUGUGGGAUGAACCGACAAACUUUUCUAAUUGGGGCAAUUUUGUCCUAUAUUGUUCAUGUAUUCACAAAACUAUGUCAGAUUAAAUAAAAUAACACUGGGGUUUUCUCUUGUCUUCUGAUACUGCUGAUCAAGAUCAUCUUGUUCACAAUGGCAGAUGAGCCAUGUAUAUGCAUGAAAUCAGUUCCCCUUACUUAGGUGUAUCAAAAAGGUGCAAGGUAGCUGUACUUAUUCUGUUCAAGGUGCUUCAUGCAGUCCUGUGCUCUACCCUCCUGGUGCCAUUCAGUGGACUCUGGAAAACACCGUGGUCUAGCUACAACUGAGGUUAGGGAACCUGAAGCUCCAGCAGAUAUAAUGACAAUGUCUCUCAGCAUAAACAGUGGAACCUAUGGCUUUGGGAAAUGGCCCAGUUGGUGAAGAUGAAGAACCGAGUUUGAGGUCCGGGACCCAUAGCAAGUUCUUUGAUCCACUCCAGAACCUUCAGAGAUCCCUGGGACUAAACAACCAACCAUGGAGGGACCCAUGGCUGAAUAUGUG